UACGGAGGAUCCAAGCGUUAUCCGGAUUCAUUGGGUUUAAAGGGUGCGUAGGCGGAAUGAUAAGUCAGUGGUGAAAUCCUGCAGCUUAACUGCAGAACUGCCAUUGAUACUGUCAAUCUUGAGUACAUUUGAUGUGGGCGGAAUGUGUCAUGUAGCGGUGAAAUGCUUAGAUAUGACACAGAACACCGAUUGCGAAGGCAGCUCACAAAACUGUAACUGACGCUGAGGCACGAAGGCGUGGGUAUCAAACAGG
RNAcentral lists this ribosomal RNA (253 nucleotides) under uncultured bacterium. RNAcentral describes it as "partial 16S ribosomal RNA". It matches the Rfam family "Bacterial small subunit ribosomal RNA", at positions 524 to 776 of the family's 1533-position model. The record is from RNAcentral.